GGUGUCUCUAGUGACUCAUCAAGUGAUAUUUGGCAAGACAUUUUCCCAUUUAUGCCAGUUUCCUAUUCUGUUGAAUGAGGAAAUUUUCUCUUUAAAGACCCUAAAAGUUUUGACUUUAUAGGUUUCAAAGUUCUGUGGAAACAUUUUCUAUUGCUUAUUAAUUUGAAUCUUAUGUAACUUUAGCACAGUACUCAAUAUUUAUGGCAUUUACAUGGUUUAUCUCACGUUUUUUUAUAGCUCUUCAUUGUUCCUAUCUGCCAAAUCAUUAUACUUCCUACAAGCGGUGCGGAGAGCUGAGUCUUCAGCAGGUCCAAGAAAUUUGAACACACUGAAGGAAGUCAGCCUUCCCACCUGAAGAUCAACGUGCCUGGCACUCUAGCACUUUAGGAUAGCUGAAUGAAUGUGUAUUUCUUCAUCUCUUUCUUCCUUGUCUUUGCUCUUUGUUCUCUAUCUAAAGUGUGUCUUACCCAUUUCCAUGUUUCUCUUGCUAAUUUCUUUCAUGUGUGCCUUUGCCUCAUUUUCUCUUUUUGUUCACAAGAGUGGUCUGUGUCUUGUCUUAGACAUAUCUCUCAUUUUUCAUUUUGUUGCUGUUUCUGUUUGCUCUCCUAGAUGUGGCUCUUCUUUCACGCUUUAUUUCAUGUCUCCUUUUUGGGUCACAUGCUGUGUGCUUUUUGUCU
This 677-nucleotide long non-coding RNA is filed under the name Pongo abelii (Sumatran orangutan). RNAcentral's name for it is "lincRNA". The record is from RNAcentral. Lineage: Eukaryota; Metazoa; Chordata; Mammalia; Primates; Hominidae.